GUGAAGCAGCGAAUCUUUGAACGCAAAUUGCACUCUCUGGCAUUCCGGAGAGUAUGCCGGUUUGAGGGGCAGUUUAAAUAAAAAGCGAGGUGUUGCUGGUUUGUGACCCAUCGGAAUUGGGUUAUCUUUGACCUUUUAAAAAGUUGAAGUGACCUAAAAUUGAUACCUUGUGCAUCUCAGACGUACAUAAGAAUAUUUUUUUAUCCGUCCGGAGUGGCUAAUUUUUUAUUAGGGAUGACGAUGCUGUUUGUGGCAGUGUACCUAUAAGAUAAGCAUAUUUUGACC
RNAcentral lists this unclassified non-coding RNA (285 nucleotides) under Glomeraceae sp. Its description in RNAcentral is "partial contains 5.8S ribosomal RNA and internal transcribed spacer 2". The stretch from base 1 to 71 matches the Rfam family "5.8S ribosomal RNA", at positions 84 to 154 of the family's 154-position model. The record is from RNAcentral. Lineage: Eukaryota; Fungi; Glomeromycota; Glomeromycetes; Glomerales; Glomeraceae.